UGCAAGUCUGGUGCCAGCAGCCGCGGUAAUUCCAGCUCCAAUAGCGUAUAUUAAAGUUGUUGCCGUUAAAAAGCUCGUAGUUGAACCUUGGCCCUGGCUGAUCUGUCCUCCUAAUCGAGCGCACGGAUUCGGUCGGGGCUUUCCUUCUGGGGAGCCCCAUGCCCUUCACUGGGUGUGGCGGGGAACCAGGACUUUUACCUUGAAAAAAUUAGAGUGUUCAAAGCAGGCCUUUGCUCGAAUACAUUAGCAUGGAAUAAUAGAAUAGGACAUCGGUUCUAUUUUGUUGGUUUCUAGGACCGCUGUAACGAUUAAUAGGGACAGUCGGGGGCGUCAGUAUUCAAUUGUCAGAGGUGAAAUUCUUGGAUUUAUUGAAGACUAACUACUGCGAAAGCAUUCGCCAAGGAUGUUUUCAUUAAUCAGUGAACGAAAGUUAGGGGAUCGAAGACGAUCAGAUACCGUCGUAGUCUUAACCAUAAACUAUGCCGACUAGGGAUCGGACGGUGGUUUUUUUAUGCCCCGUUCGGCACCUUACGAGAAAUCAAAGUUUUUGGGCUCGGGGGGGAAGUAUGGUCGCAAGGCUGAAACUUAAAGGAAUUGACGGAA
This 603-nucleotide ribosomal RNA is filed under the name Chaetothyriales sp. 34e08. RNAcentral describes it as "SSU rRNA". It matches the Rfam family "Eukaryotic small subunit ribosomal RNA", at positions 554 to 1161 of the family's 1831-position model. Lineage: Eukaryota; Fungi; Ascomycota; Eurotiomycetes; Chaetothyriales. The record is from RNAcentral.